AAUGUUAUUAUCGAGGUGAAUUGUCUGGGCGGUAGUUUUCCCCCCAACUGAAAAUUAGGCCAAGUCAAAACACACUCACAUCACAAACACACUCUGUCUCGAACAUACUCUCCCUCUCUCUUUCUCUCUCAAACACACUCUCUCGGCUCUCAGCUUUCUUCUUCGAUUCAAGCAUGGAUUCAGGCAUCGAUUAGGUACUUGAAUACACAAACACACAUGCUUUCUUCGAUUUAGUUACUAACACAUCGAGUUUUUUCUUGUAGGUAAUUAGGGUUCGUCGAUUUGGGGUUCUUCGAUCAACUGGGGAUUGAAGUUUCUGAGGGGAUUUAACUUUUUGAGGGGAUUGAAGUUUUAUACAUUUUAAGGGUUUCAUUGGGUAAAAAGCUUUGAUUAAGGUAAAAAGCUUUCAAUGGGUUUAUGUCUUUAUAUGUUUAUGUGUUUAAUUUUAAUUUUUUGUAUUUGCUCGAUUGGGUUUAUUUUGUGUUCGAUUGGGUUUAUUUUGAGUAUCAUUGGGUUGAUACAUGAUAUUUAGGUAUGGGUUUUCAGAGACUAGAUUUGAUUGUCAUGAGCUUCUUUAGUAUAUGUUUAAACCUAAUUCACUGCAUUUAUUUUGUUGAUAAAUUGAUUGUUGUUGGUCGAUUCGUGCCUAUGUGAUUAACAUUAGACUUUUGGUAUACAAGUGUGUACUUGUCAGUGGUUUACAAAGUGUUAUUGUUCAGGUUAUUAAGGUGAUAAAGAAAGCACAGAGGAUUGGGACAGGGUUAGUCCUGCUAUUCUUCUCAAAGCAGAUGGUUUUGUCUUAGUUGCAUUUCAAACAUAUAAUUCUUCGACAUUUGGAUUCCUCUUUAAUUUCUAAUUUGAUUGUGGAAGAAAGAACACGAUACAGUUUACUCCAUGUUCAUUUCAUUAGUCUCAGAGUAGUUUGAUUUGUUAUGACCGUACAGAUUCUAACAAUUUUAUGGCUACUGGAUAACCAUACAGUACAUAUGAACUUUCAAGAAUCAGCAAAAAUGAUUAUUCCAGCAAUUUUAUGGCUCCAUAUUGUAAGGAUUCCAAGGACUAGAAAUACAGUUAUGCAGUUAUGUUCAUGGUUCUCAUUAUUUAAAGAAUAAUAACCAAGGAGUCUGAUAAUUUCUUAGCUGUUCAUGCUUGCAGGCAUAUGACAUACGGUCCAGAAUACAUUUUAUCCAGAGGUAACCAAGAAUCAUUUUAAAGAUCUUGCUUACAUUUGUGUUAGUGGUGAAGGCACCAGUUUGCAAAAGUUACUUGUUUAUACAGACUCUACACGUGACGUAGCAAGCUUGAAUCAGAGGAAGAGGAAGUUGAAGAGGUUGAGGAUAAAAAAGAAGCGACACAAGAAGAACCUUAAACUAGGGAAGAUAGGCAAAAACACAGGACAUCAAGUCUGUUAGCUGGCAUAAGGCGCUUCAGUUUACAUGGAUGGUGCUCUCUCUAUUGUAUACCAUGUUAUCCACUAGUUUGUUCCACUGUCUAGUUCUUUUAUCAUAGUUUGGGCAUGUAUCGGGGUAGUUGUUGAAAUAGAUGAGAAUGAUAUGGAAAUGUAGUUUAAUAUUGUGUUGUUAGGAUUGUUGUCUCACAGAGCAUAUUUGAUAUAGGGAUUGUUGUUUAAAUGGAGCAUGUAUUUUAAAAUUUAUAUAUUAAGUGUUACAUUAGCCUCGUUUACUGUUAUAGUAUCUUAGAUUUAGUGUUACAUUAUUUCUACCUGCUGUUAUAUUAUUGUGAACUUUAGUGUUGCAAUA
Molecule: long non-coding RNA, 1760 nt
Organism: Daucus carota subsp. sativus
Lineage: Eukaryota; Viridiplantae; Streptophyta; Magnoliopsida; Apiales; Apiaceae
Exons: 3
Source: RefSeq, a predicted model, not a curated record